RNAcentral lists this ribosomal RNA (464 nucleotides) under Escherichia coli. RNAcentral describes it as "partial 23S ribosomal RNA". It matches the Rfam family "Bacterial large subunit ribosomal RNA", at positions 729 to 1191 of the family's 2925-position model. Lineage: Bacteria; Pseudomonadati; Pseudomonadota; Gammaproteobacteria; Enterobacterales; Enterobacteriaceae. The record is from RNAcentral.
UCUAGCCAUGGGCAGGUUGAAGGUUGGGUAACACUAACUGGAGGACCGAACCGACUAAUGUUGAAAAAUUAGCGGAUGACUUGUGGCUGGGGGUGAAAGGCCAAUCAAACCGGGAGAUAGCUGGUUCUCCCCGAAAGCUAUUUAGGUAGCGCCUCGUGAAUUCAUCUCCGGGGGUAGAGCACUGUUUCGGCAAGGGGGUCAUCCCGACUUACCAACCCGAUGCAAACUGCGAAUACCGGAGAAUGUUAUCACGGGAGACACACGGCGGGUGCUAACGUCCGUCGUGAAGAGGGAAACAACCCAGACCGCCAGCUAAGGUCCCAAAGUCAUGGUUAAGUGGGAAACGAUGUGGGAAGGCCCAGACAGCCAGGAUGUUGGCUUAGAAGCAGCCAUCAUUUAAAGAAAGCGUAAUAGCUCACUGGUCGAGUCGGCCUGCGCGGAAGAUGUAACGGGGCUAAACCAUG